Molecule: ribosomal RNA, 765 nt
Filed under: uncultured bacterium
Lineage: Bacteria
Description: bacterial SSU rRNA
Rfam family: Bacterial small subunit ribosomal RNA
Source: RNAcentral
GGGCUUAACUUGGGUGCUGCAUUUCAAACUGGAUAUCUAGAGUGCGGGAGAGGAGAAUGGAAUUCCUAGUGUAGCGGUGAAAUGCGUAGAGAUUAGGAAGAACACCAGUGGCGAAGGCGAUUCUCUGGACCGUAACUGACGCUGAGGCAUGAAAGCGUGGGUAGCAAACAGGAUUAGAUACCCUGGUAGUCCACGCCGUAAACGAUGAGUACUAGGUGUAGGAGGUAUCGACCCCUUCUGUGCCGCAGUUAACACAAUAAGUACUCCGCCUGGGAAGUACGAUCGCAAGAUUAAAACUCAAAGGAAUUGACGGGGGCCCGCACAAGCAGCGGAGCAUGUGGUUUAAUUCGAAGCAACGCGAAGAACCUUACCUGGACUUGACAUCCCCUGAAUAGUGCAGAGAUGCAUGAAGCCCUUCGGGGCAGGGAGACAGGUGGUGCAUGGUUGUCGUCAGCUCGUGUCGUGAGAUGUUAGGUUAAGUCCUGCAACGAGCGCAACCCUUAUCAUUAGUUGCUACCAUUAAGUUGAGCACUCUAGUGAGACUGCCCGGGUUAACCGGGAGGAAGGUGGGGAUGACGUCAAAUCAUCAUGCCCCUUAUGUCCAGGGCUACACACGUGCUACAAUGGUGGGUACAGAGAGAUGCAAGACCGCGAGGUGGAGCAAAACUCAAAAACCCAUCCCAGUUCGGAUUGUAGGCUGCAACUCGCCUACAUGAAGCCGGAGUUGCUAGUAAUCGGAGAUCAGCAUGCUCCGGUGAAUACGUU